UGGGGAAUAUUGGGCAAUGGGGGAAACCCUGACCCAGCCACGCCGCGUGAGUGAUGAAGGCCUUCGGGUCGUAAAGCUCUGUGGGGAGGGACGAAACCUCGUCGGCUAAUACCCGGCGAGCUGACGGUACCUCCUUAGCAAGCACCGGCUAACUCCGUGCCAGCAGCCGCGGUAAUACGGAGGGUGCAAACGUUGCUCGGAAUUAUUGGGCGUAAAGCGUGCGUAGGCGGUCUCGCAAGUCGGGUGUGAAAGCCCUCGGCUCAACCGAGGAAGUGCAUUCGAAACUACGAGACUUGAGUACCGGAGGGGAUGACGGAAUUCCCGGUGUAGAGGUGAAAUUCGUAGAUAUCGGGAGGAACACCAGUGGCAAAGGCGGUCAUCUGGACGGAUACUGACGCUGAGGCACGAAAGCGUGGGGAGCAAACAGGAUUAGAUACCCUGGUAGUCCACGCUGUAAACGAUGGAUGCUAGACGUCGCGGGAUUGACCCCUGCGGCAUCGAAGCUAACGCG
RNAcentral lists this ribosomal RNA (511 nucleotides) under uncultured Pseudomonadota bacterium. RNAcentral's name for it is "bacterial SSU rRNA". It matches the Rfam family "Bacterial small subunit ribosomal RNA", at positions 355 to 859 of the family's 1533-position model. Lineage: Bacteria; Pseudomonadati; Pseudomonadota. The record is from RNAcentral.